GACGUAGGAUGCAAGCGUUGUCCGGAAUUAUUGGGCGUAAAGAGUUCGUAGGCGGUAUGUAAAGUCUGGUGUUAAAGCCCGGGGCUCAACUCCGGUUCGGCAUUGGAUACUUACAAACUAGAAUGCAGAAGAGGCAAAGGGAAUUCCUAGUGUAGUGGUGAAAUGCGUAGAUAUUAGGAGGAACACCGGUGGCGUAAGCGCUUUGCUGGUCUGUUAUUGACGCUGAGGAACGAAAGCCAGGGGAGCAAAUGGGAUUAGAUACCCCAGUAGUCCUGGCCGUAAACGAUGGAUACUAGGUGUUGAAGGUAUCGACCCCUUCAGUGCUGCAGCUAACGCAAUAAGUAUCCCGCCUGGGGAGUACGCACGCAAGUGUGAA
This 376-nucleotide ribosomal RNA is filed under the name uncultured bacterium. RNAcentral describes it as "bacterial SSU rRNA". It matches the Rfam family "Bacterial small subunit ribosomal RNA", at positions 524 to 898 of the family's 1533-position model. The record is from RNAcentral.